RNAcentral lists this small RNA (30 nucleotides) under Bombyx mori (domestic silkworm). RNAcentral's name for it is "ovarian small RNA-37431". The record is from RNAcentral. Lineage: Eukaryota; Metazoa; Arthropoda; Insecta; Lepidoptera; Bombycidae.
UUCGUCAUUGGUGAGGGUCGUGACCAAAAA